This 497-nucleotide ribosomal RNA is filed under the name Termitomyces sp. symbiont of Microtermes sp. DKA-2002-3. Its description in RNAcentral is "eukaryotic LSU rRNA". It matches the Rfam family "Eukaryotic large subunit ribosomal RNA", at positions 72 to 568 of the family's 3401-position model. Lineage: Eukaryota; Fungi; Basidiomycota; Agaricomycetes; Agaricales; Lyophyllaceae. The record is from RNAcentral.
GGAUUCCCCUAGUAACUGCGAGUGAAGCGGGAAAAGCUCAAAUUUAAAAUCUGGUAGUCUUUGGCUGCCCGAGUUGUAAUCUAGAGAAGCAUUAUCCGCGCUGGACCGUGUACAAGUGUCCUGGAAUGGACCAUCAUAGAGGGUGAGAAUCCCGUCUUUGACACGGACUACCAGGGCUUUGUGAUGUGCUCUCAAAGAGUCGAGUUGUUUGGGAAUGCAGCUCUAAAUGGGUGGUAAAUUCCAUCUAAAGCUAAAUAUUGGCGAGAGACCGAUAGCGAACAAGUACCGUGAGGGAAAGAUGAAAAGAACUUUGGAAAGAGAGUUAAACAGUACGUGAAAUUGCUGAAAGGGAAACGCUUGAAGUCAGUCGCGUUGGCUGGGGAUCAACCUUGGUUCUUGCUUGGCUUACUUCCCAGUYGACGGGUCAGCAUCAGUUUUGACCGGUGGAUAAAGGUCAGGGGAAUGUGGCACCUUCGGGUGUGUUAUAGCCUUGGUCA